AACGAACGCUGGCGGCAGGCUUAACACAUGCAAGUCGAACGCUCGUAGCAAUACGGGAGUGGCGGACGGGUGAGUAACGCGUGGGAACGUGCCCUGAGGUACGGAAUAACUGCGGGAAACUGCAGCUAAUACCGUAUGAGCCCCGCAAGGGGGAAAGAUUUAUCGCCUUGGGAGCGGCCCGCGUCGGAUUAGCUAGUUGGUGGGGUAACGCCUACCAAGGCUUCGAUCCGUAGCUGGUCUGAGAGGACGAUCAGCCACACUGGGACUGAGACACGGCCCAGACUCCUACGGGAGGCAGCAGUGGGGAAUCUUGCGCAAUGGGGGCAACCCUGACGCAGCCAUGCCGCGUGAAUGAUGAAGGCCUUAGGGUUGUAAAGUUCUUUGCCCGUGACGAUGAUGACGGUAACGGAGAAUAAGCUCGGCUAACUUCGUGCCAGCAGCCGCGGUAAU
This 450-nucleotide ribosomal RNA is filed under the name uncultured bacterium. RNAcentral describes it as "bacterial SSU rRNA". It matches the Rfam family "Bacterial small subunit ribosomal RNA", at positions 29 to 524 of the family's 1533-position model. The record is from RNAcentral.